GGCGGGAAGGUACCUUUUUUUCCUCUCAAAUUAGAUAAUUUUACGAAAGUGUAAGAUCUGAUAUAUGAAUUUGAAAUUUAAAUUUAAAUUUGAAUUUGAAUCUGAUUUUGAUUAUAUAUAUAUAGAGUGAGGCUACUAUGCUUCUGGAAGCAUGGAGCCUUCUGUGCUUCCAGAUCGUUUUCUAUGUUGCGACAUUCAAAUCGUCGAUCGGCUCUGUUAAACUUGAUCUAAUGUAUUUGAAGUAUCUAGAAAUAAAUUAUGCGAUUUUUCGAUAUUAUUUGCCUAGUGAACGAAGGGGCUCAAAAUCAACGGCUGAAAAUAAAAAUCUUACAAAACGUGAUAAUAUGACAUUAAAAUUUUAGAUCAAUGAUAUUGAUCUUGUUUUAUAUAGUAUAAAGAAUUUUCUAUCAAAAUUUCACGUGAUUUGGAUAUUUCUAUACCGUUAAACUUGCAAACGGCUCACUACGGCCAUUAAAAUUAUUGAUUUUGAGCCCCUUCGAUCACUAGGCAAAUGAUAUCGAAAAAUNNNNNNNNNNNNNNNNNNNNNNAAUAGUAAAGAAUGGCAACGAAUAAAGAACGGUUAAUGCUAAGGAAUAGCAAAUAAUAAAGAACGGCUAAGAAUUAAAGAAAGGC
RNAcentral lists this long non-coding RNA (633 nucleotides) under Ananas comosus (pineapple). Its description in RNAcentral is "long non-coding RNA (ACOM_LNC023508)". The record is from RNAcentral. Lineage: Eukaryota; Viridiplantae; Streptophyta; Magnoliopsida; Poales; Bromeliaceae.